This 284-nucleotide ribosomal RNA is filed under the name uncultured bacterium. RNAcentral's name for it is "partial 16S ribosomal RNA". It matches the Rfam family "Bacterial small subunit ribosomal RNA", at positions 355 to 631 of the family's 1533-position model. The record is from RNAcentral.
UGGGGAAUAUUGCACAAUGGGCGCAAGCCUGAUGCAGCCAUGCCGCGUGUGUGAAGAAGGCCUUCGGGUUGUAAAGCACUUUCAGCGAGGAGGAAGGGUAGUGUGUUAAUAGCACAUUGCAUUGACGUUACUCGCAGAAGAAGCACCGGCUAACUCCGUGCCAGCAGCCGCGGUAAUACGGAGGGUGCAAGCGUUAAUCGGAAUUACUGGGCGUAAAGCGCACGCAGGCGGUUUGUUAAGUCAGAUGUGAAAUCCCCGCGCUUAACGUGGGAACUGCAUUUGAA